RNAcentral lists this ribosomal RNA (411 nucleotides) under Rhizophagus prolifer. The record is from RNAcentral. Lineage: Eukaryota; Fungi; Glomeromycota; Glomeromycetes; Glomerales; Glomeraceae.
CAGUCGUACCUGCGGAUAAUCAGCUUUUUGAGUGUGAUUAUGUGGUUUAUGAGGAGUUUAACCGCCUUCAUGUAUUGCAUAUUCGUGCACAUUUGGUGUACUUGUCCGUGUGGUGGGUUAACAUCAAUUUCGGUCGUCAUAAAAUGACUGGAGGAAUGUAGCUUUGGUCUCGUAUCGAAGUGUUAUAGACUCUGGUAGAUGUGACGAUUGGGGAUUGGAGGGAUUGCGACGGAUACCCUUCGGGGCUACUCGUCUGAUCUCUGAAGGUUGCUCCGGUGCCGAAAGCGUGCUUACGGUCAUCGAAAGUGAUUUUCAAAAGGUUAGAACGGGUUAAAUUCGUUAAGGAUGUUGACGUAAUGGACUUUAAACGACCCGUCUUGAAACUACGGACCAAGGAGUCUAACAUAUAUG